AGCGAACGCUGGCGGCGUGCCUAACACAUGCAAGUCGAACGUGAAAGGGAGCAAUCCCAAGUAAAGUGGCGUACGGGUGAGUAACACGUAGGUAAUCUACCCCAGAAUCUGGAAUAACCGGCCGAAAGGCUGGCUAAUACUGGAUAGAGCGACGGAAUCCGUAAUUGGGUUUUUCGGGAAAGGGAGCCUGUAAAAAGGCCUUCGUUCUGGGAUGAGCCUGCGUCCCAUCAGCUAGUUGGUGAGGUAAAAGCUUACCAAGGCAAUGACGGGUAGCUGGUCGGAGAGGACGAUCGGCCACACUGGAACUGAAACACGGUCCAGACUCCUACGGGAGGCAGCAGUGGGGAAUCUUGCGCAAUGGACGAAAGUCUGACGCAGCAACGCCGCGUGAGUGAAGAAGGCCUUCGGGUUGUAAAGCUCUGUCGAGUGGGACGAAAAUGCUUGGAGUUCACAGCUCCAGGAACUGACGGUACCACUAAAGGAAGCACCGGCUAACUCCGUG
RNAcentral lists this ribosomal RNA (502 nucleotides) under uncultured bacterium. RNAcentral describes it as "partial 16S ribosomal RNA". It matches the Rfam family "Bacterial small subunit ribosomal RNA", at positions 29 to 507 of the family's 1533-position model. The record is from RNAcentral.